CAGUAGCCGCGGUAAUACGGAGGAUCCGAGCGUUAUCCGGAAUUAUUGGGUUUAAAGGGUGCGUAGGCGGAUAGAUAAGUCAGUGGUGAAAGACGGUGGCUCAACCAUCGCAGUGCCGUUGAUACUGUUUAUCUUGAAUAUGGAUGAGGUAGGCGGAAUGUGGCAAGUAGCGGUGAAAUGCAUAGAUAUGCCACAGAACACCGAUUGCGAAGGCAGCUUACCAAGGCAAAAUUGACGCUGAGGCACGAAAGCGUGGGGAUCGAACAGGAUUAGAUACCCCUGUAGUCCCUGUCUCUUAUAC
RNAcentral lists this ribosomal RNA (301 nucleotides) under uncultured bacterium. RNAcentral's name for it is "partial 16S ribosomal RNA". It matches the Rfam family "Bacterial small subunit ribosomal RNA", at positions 509 to 807 of the family's 1533-position model. The record is from RNAcentral.